UGGACGAGGAGGAGGACGAGGAAGACGAGGAGAACAAGGUGAACAAAGAGGACAAGGAUCAGUGCUCGGUAUAACACGAGGUGGUUAGCGGUCGUCGUUGGAGGUGGUUUGAGGUGGUUACGGGAUGGUUGCGGGUGAUCGAGGAUUCCAAGUAUUUGACAACAGUGAUACCUUAUCGCAUGGACAAUGGCCCACCUCAUAAUCAAGCUUUAAAAGUCCUCAUUAAGAUAUUAAAGGCUAUUAAUGAGGAUAGUCCAACGGUGCCCACAUUAUUAACGGACUACAUAUUGAAAGUUCUGUGCCCCACCUACUGAUCCACUGGAACAUAUCCUCCGACGUGACAUCGCUCUGCU
Molecule: long non-coding RNA, 353 nt
Filed under: Neodiprion lecontei (redheaded pine sawfly)
Lineage: Eukaryota; Metazoa; Arthropoda; Insecta; Hymenoptera; Diprionidae
Description: uncharacterized LOC124294932
Source: RNAcentral